Molecule: ribosomal RNA, 305 nt
Filed under: uncultured bacterium
Lineage: Bacteria
Description: bacterial SSU rRNA
Rfam family: Bacterial small subunit ribosomal RNA
Source: RNAcentral
GUUACCCUACGGGGCGCAGCAGUGAGGAAUAUUGGUCAAUGGCCGAGAGGCUGAACCAGCCAAGUCGCGUGAGGGAAGACGGCCCUACGGGUUGUAAACCUCUUUUGUCGGGGAACAAAGGCGGAGACGCGUCUCCGGAUGAGUGUACCCGAAGAAAAAGCAUCGGCUAACUCCGUGCCAGCAGCCGCGGUAAUGCGGAGGAUGCGAGCGUUAUCCGGAUUUAUUGGGUUUAAAGGGUGCGCAGGCGGGAGAUCAAGUCAGCGGUAAAAUGUCGGGGCUCAACCCCCGCCGGCCGUUGAAACUGG